Molecule: small nucleolar RNA, 212 nt
Organism: Pyrus x bretschneideri (Chinese white pear)
Lineage: Eukaryota; Viridiplantae; Streptophyta; Magnoliopsida; Rosales; Rosaceae
Product: small nucleolar RNA U3
Exons: 1
Source: RefSeq, a predicted model, not a curated record
ACAACCUUGCUUGAACAGGAUCUGUUCUAUAUAUAGGUUGUAACUCUGUAUCCUUGAUUUCUAAGGAGACAAAACCCUAGUUUGGUGGAUGAACCAUCAUCGUGUGAUCAGAGCAUGAUUAACAGCCCUGUGAUCCUUGGAUCAUUCGAGCAGUAGAUGAUCGUUCUCAGCCAACAACCAACUGGGGUGGUCACAUGGUUGUUUGACAGACA